RNAcentral lists this ribosomal RNA (290 nucleotides) under uncultured archaeon. RNAcentral describes it as "partial 16S rRNA". It matches the Rfam family "Archaeal small subunit ribosomal RNA", at positions 339 to 631 of the family's 1478-position model. The record is from RNAcentral.
GCGCGAAAAGUUUACAAUGCGGGAAACCGUGAUAAGGGAACUCCGAGUGCCCGUAAAAUCGGGCUGUCCAUCUGUUUAAAUAACAGGUGAAGAAAGGGCCGGGCAAGACCGGUGCCAGCCGCCGCGGUAAUACCGGCGGCUCGAGUGGUGGCCACUAUUACUGGGCUUAAAGCGUUCGUAGCUGGUCUGUUAAGUCUCUGGGGAAAUCUACUGGCUUAACCAAUAGGCGUUUCAGGGAUACUGGCAGACUAGAGGGACCGGGAGAGGUGAGGGGUACUCCAGGGGUAGGA